GUGUCAGCCGCCGCGGUAACACGUAGGAGACGAGCGUUAUCCGGAUUUAUUGGGCGUAAAGAGCAUGUAGGCGGGCUCUUAAGUCGGAUGUGAAAUCUCUUGGCUUAACCGGGAGGGGUCAUUCGAUACUGGGAGUCUUGAGGGCAGGAGAGGGAAGUAGAAUUCCCGGUGUAGUGGUGGAAUACGUAGAUAUCGGGAGGAAUACCAGUGGCGAAAGCGGCUUCCUGGCCUGUGCCUGACGCUGAGAUGCGAAAGCGUGGGUAGCAAACGGGAUUAGAUACCCCUGUAGUCC
RNAcentral lists this ribosomal RNA (292 nucleotides) under uncultured bacterium. Its description in RNAcentral is "partial 16S ribosomal RNA". It matches the Rfam family "Bacterial small subunit ribosomal RNA", at positions 505 to 796 of the family's 1533-position model. The record is from RNAcentral.